GGGGAUAUAACUCAGUGGUAGAGUGCUUGCUUUGCAUGCAAGAAGCCUCGGGUUUGAACCCCGAUAUCUCCA
This 72-nucleotide transfer RNA is filed under the name Neocallimastix californiae. It matches the Rfam family "tRNA". Rfam says of the family: Transfer RNA (tRNA) molecules are approximately 80 nucleotides in length. Their secondary structure includes four short double-helical elements and three loops (D, anti-codon, and T loops). Further hydrogen bonds mediate the characteristic L-shaped molecular structure. tRNAs have two regions of fundamental functional importance: the anti-codon, which is responsible for specific mRNA codon recognition, and the 3' end, to which the tRNAs corresponding amino acid is attached (by aminoacyl-tRNA synthetases). tRNAs cope with the degeneracy of the genetic code in two manners: having more than one tRNA (with a specific anti-codon) for a particular amino acid; and 'wobble' base-pairing, i.e. permitting non-standard base-pairing at the 3rd anti-codon position. The record is from Rfam by way of RNAcentral. Lineage: Eukaryota; Fungi; Neocallimastigomycota; Neocallimastigomycetes; Neocallimastigales; Neocallimastigaceae. RNAcentral also lists the same sequence under 2 other names.